UCAGACAGCUGAGUCACUCUGC
RNAcentral lists this microRNA (22 nucleotides) under Rattus norvegicus (Norway rat). RNAcentral describes it as "Rno-Mir-6329_3p* (star (passenger))". Lineage: Eukaryota; Metazoa; Chordata; Mammalia; Rodentia; Muridae. The record is from RNAcentral.